Molecule: long non-coding RNA, 170 nt
Organism: Dermochelys coriacea (leatherback sea turtle)
Lineage: Eukaryota; Metazoa; Chordata; Testudines; Dermochelyidae
Exons: 4
Source: RefSeq, a predicted model, not a curated record
CUCUUGUGCCUUCACAUUUGUAGGAUUUCUGUAUUCAUGGGUAAUCUUAACUUUGCUUGUGACUUUAACAAAACUUGUAAAAUAGACUAGACCUUGUACUUGUGAAUGUAUGUGUGGUCACUAUCCUUGGUCUUCAUGUGUUCUUAGAUGCUCUAAAUAUGAAGCAAGUC